CCUACGGGAGGCUGCAGUGAGGAAUAUUGGUCAAUGGGCGUGAGCCUGAACCAGCCAAGUCGCGUGAGGGAUGACGGUCCUAUGGAUCGUAAACCUCUUUUAUAAGGGAAUAAAGUGUGGGACGUGUCCUAUUUUGUAUGUACCUUAUGAAUAAGGAUCGGCUAACUCCGUGCCAGCAGCCGCGGUAAUACGGAGGAUCCGAGCGUUAUCCGGAUUUAUUGGGUUUAAAGGGUGCGUAGGUGGCCUGUUAAGUCAGCUGUGAAAGUCUGUGGCUCAACCAUAGAAUUGCCGUUGAAACUGGCGGGCUUGAGUAUGUUUGAGGCAGGCGGAAUGCGUGGUGUAGCGGUGAAAUGCUUAGAUAUCACGCAGAACUCCGAUUGCGAAGGCAGCCUGCCAAGCCAUGACUGACGCUGAUGCACGAAAGCGUGGGUAUCAAACAGGAUUAGAUACCCGUGUAGUC
Molecule: ribosomal RNA, 460 nt
Filed under: uncultured bacterium
Lineage: Bacteria
Description: partial 16S ribosomal RNA
Rfam family: Bacterial small subunit ribosomal RNA
Source: RNAcentral